UACAGAGGGUGCAAGCGUUGUUCGGAAUUACUGGGCGUAAAGCGCGUGUAGGCGGUCUGAUAAGUCGAAUGUGAAAGCCCUCGGCUUAACCGAGGAAGUGCAUUUGAUACUGCCAGACUUGAGUACCGGAGGGGGUGGCGGAAUUCCUGGUGUAGAGGUGAAAUUCGUAGAUAUCAGGAGGAACACCUGUGGCGAAGGCGGCCACCUGGACGGUAACUGACGCUGAGACGCGAAAGCGUGGGUAGCAAACAGG
RNAcentral lists this ribosomal RNA (253 nucleotides) under uncultured bacterium. RNAcentral's name for it is "partial 16S ribosomal RNA". It matches the Rfam family "Bacterial small subunit ribosomal RNA", at positions 524 to 776 of the family's 1533-position model. The record is from RNAcentral.